AUUGAACGCUGGCGGCAGGCCUAACACAUGCAAGUCGAGCGGAUGAAGGGAGCUUGCUCCUGGAUUCAGCGGCGGACGGGUGAGUAAUGCCUAGGAAUCUGGCUGGCAGUGGGGGAUAACGUCCGGAAACGGGCGCUAAUACCGCAUACGUCCUGAGGGGGAAAGUGGGGGAUCUUCGGACCUCACGCUAUCAGAUGAGCCUAGGUCGGAUUAGCUAGUUGGUGGGGUAAAGGCCUACCAAGGCGACGAUCCGUAACUGGUCUGAGAGGAUGAUCAGUCACACUGGAACUGAGACACGGUCCAGACUCCUACGGGAGGCAGCAGUGGGGAAUAUUGGACAAUGGGCGAAAGCCUGAUCCAGCCAUGCCGCGUGUGUGAAGAAGGUCUUCGGAUUGUAAAGCACUUUAAGUUGGGAGGAAGGGCAGUAAGUUAAUACCUUGCUGUUUUGACGUUACCAACAGAAUAAGCACCGGCUAACUUCGUG
This 484-nucleotide ribosomal RNA is filed under the name uncultured bacterium. Its description in RNAcentral is "partial 16S ribosomal RNA". It matches the Rfam family "Bacterial small subunit ribosomal RNA", at positions 30 to 507 of the family's 1533-position model. The record is from RNAcentral.